GUAGGUGGCAAGCGUUGUCCGGAAUUAUUGGGCGUAAAGCGCGCGCAGGCGGUUCUUUAAGUCUGAUGUGAAAGCCCACGGCUCAACCGUGGAGGGUCAUUGGAGACUGGAGAACUUGAGUACAGAAGAGGAAAGCGGAAUUCCACGUGUAGCGGUGAAAUGCGUAGAGAUGUGGAGGAACACCAGUGGCGAAGGCGGCUUUCUGGUCUGUAACUGACGCUGAGGCGCGAAAGCGUGGGGAGCAAACAGGAUUAGAUACCCUGGUAGUCCACGCCGUAAACGAUGAGUGCUAAGUGUUAGGGGGUUUCCGCCCCCCUUAGUGCUGCAGCUAACGCAUUAAGCACUCCGCCUGGGACUACGGCCGCAAGGCUG
This 372-nucleotide ribosomal RNA is filed under the name uncultured organism. RNAcentral describes it as "partial 16S ribosomal RNA". It matches the Rfam family "Bacterial small subunit ribosomal RNA", at positions 527 to 896 of the family's 1533-position model. The record is from RNAcentral.